CGCAAGAGAACCGGAACACAGGUGCUGCAUGGCUGUCGUCAGCUCGUGUCGUGAGAUGUUGGGUUAAGUCCCGCAACGAGCGCAACCCUUGUCAUUAGUUGCUACGAAAGGGCACUCUAAUGAGACUGCCGGUGACAAACCGGAGGAAGGUGGGGAUGACGUCAAGUCCUCAUGGCCCUUAUGGGUAGGGCUUCACACGUCAUACAAUGGUCGGGACAGAGGGUCGCCAACCCGCGAGGGGGAGCCAAUCCCAGAAACCCGAUCGUAGUCCGGAUCGCAGUCUGCAACUCGACUGCGUGAAGUCGGAAUCGCUAGUAAUCGCGGAUCAGCAUGUCGCGGUGA
This 342-nucleotide ribosomal RNA is filed under the name Achromobacter sp. VA13. RNAcentral describes it as "bacterial SSU rRNA". It matches the Rfam family "Bacterial small subunit ribosomal RNA", at positions 1017 to 1365 of the family's 1533-position model. Lineage: Bacteria; Pseudomonadati; Pseudomonadota; Betaproteobacteria; Burkholderiales; Alcaligenaceae. The record is from RNAcentral.